This 777-nucleotide long non-coding RNA is filed under the name Ananas comosus (pineapple). RNAcentral describes it as "long non-coding RNA (ACOM_LNC038077)". The record is from RNAcentral. Lineage: Eukaryota; Viridiplantae; Streptophyta; Magnoliopsida; Poales; Bromeliaceae.
UUUUAUAUAUUUUUUUAUUAGAGAGAUAGGUAGCACGCUACCUGCUUCGUUUAUUUCAUAUAGAAAUAAACUUAUUUGAAAUGUGAAUCAACUAGGAUUCAAACUUGGGACCUAGGAUACCAACUAUCAACUUCAAAGUUAAGUACAGUGAAGGAUUAUUUUAUAGGAUAAACUUCAAAAAACCCCCUUGUGAUUUCACAUGCACUUUCUCACUUUAGUACCCUGUGGUUUAAAGUGUAUCAAGUUAGUCUUUGUGGUUUCGCACUUUCUCACUUUAGUACUCUGUGAUUUAAAAUGUAUCAAGUUAGUACCAUGUGGUUUCAUUUUUCUCUUUUUAUUAUCUAUUUUACUUUUUUUUUUUUCAUUAAAUUAGUGACAAAGUUAAAAUUAAAGUGUACUAAAGUGAAUAUUCAAUAAACCUAAGUAGAGUAUCUGAAGUUUUCUAUAUAUAAUUUAACGAUAUAUUAACUGAGAAAAAAAAAACAGUGACAAAAUUAAAACUAAAGGAUGCAAAAGUAAAUAUUCGCUAAACCUAGAUAGAUAUCUGAAGUUUUUUGUAUAUAAUUUAACGAAAUAUUAACAGAGAAGCCGAUGAAAAGAGAAAAAUGAAACCACAUGGUACUAAAUUGAUGCACUUUAAAUCACAGAGUACUAAAGUGAGAAAACGCGAAAUCACAGGGUACUAAAUUGAUACACUUUAAACCAAAGGGUAUUAAAGUAAAAAAAUGCGAAACUACAUAGGUGGUAUUUAAAGUUUUCCCUAUUUUAUAUAGGGGU